AGGUGGAAGGAUGGCUUGAGCCUGGGAGAUGGAGGUUGCAGUGAGCUGAGAUCAUGCCACUACACUCUAGCCUGGGCGACAGAGCAAGAUCCUGUCU
Molecule: microRNA precursor, 97 nt
Organism: Cercocebus atys (sooty mangabey)
Lineage: Eukaryota; Metazoa; Chordata; Mammalia; Primates; Cercopithecidae
Source: Ensembl